CAAUAGCGUAUAUUAAAGUUGUUGCAGUUAAAAAGCUCGUAGUUGGAUUUCUGGUAGGAGUGACCGUUCCGAACUUGAUUGUUCGUGUAUUGUGUUUUCUCCAGCCAUCCUUGUGGAGAACUUUUCUUGCAUUAAUUUGUAGGGAUUGGGACCCGCAUCGUUUACUGUGAAAAAAUUAGAGUGUUUAAAGCAGGCAAUCACUUGAAUACAUUAGCAUGGAAUAAUAAGAUAGGACUUUGGUACUAUUUUGUUGGUUUGCAUACCAAAUUAAUGAUCAACAGGAACAGUUUGAGGAUAUUCGUAUGAACAUGUCAGAGGUGAAAUUCUUGGAUUUUGAUCAGACGAACUACUGCGAAAGCAUUUAUCAAGGAUGUUUUCAUUAA
Molecule: ribosomal RNA, 383 nt
Filed under: uncultured eukaryote
Lineage: Eukaryota
Description: partial 18S ribosomal RNA
Rfam family: Eukaryotic small subunit ribosomal RNA
Source: RNAcentral